RNAcentral lists this long non-coding RNA (308 nucleotides) under Elaeis guineensis (African oil palm). RNAcentral's name for it is "long non-coding RNA (EGUI_LNC002556)". The record is from RNAcentral. Lineage: Eukaryota; Viridiplantae; Streptophyta; Magnoliopsida; Arecales; Arecaceae.
UUUACUAUGUCCAAAAUGUUUCAUAUGAAAAAAGCAUGCUCAAUACACUAAUUUCAACGGAGGACGGUGAUCGAGACCACCGAUCGAUAUCUUGACUAGUACAGAAAUCGAAAAAACUUAGAGGUAUAUAGUAAAAAUAGGUCACUAUCACUACCAUGAGAAUGGUUAUAGACCUAAUAAAGCCUCAGGUAGUGAAAUAGAGGUCAAUUACGUUGACACCGAAUUUCAACAUCUUCCUUUGAAAUUGACAUUGCUCCAGAAACCCUAACAAUUCUAACCUACAUAACAACAUCAACACAGUCCAAGCC